GACGAACGCUGGCGGCGUGCUUAACACAUGCAAGUCGAGCGGUAAGGCCCUUUCGGGGGUACACGAGCGGCGAACGGGUGAGUAACACGUGGGUGACCUGCCCUCAGCUCUGGGAUAAGCCUGGGAAACCGGGUCUAAUACCGGAUAUGACUCCAUGACGCAUGUUGUGGGGUGGAAAGCCUUGUGCGGCUGAGGAUGGGCCCGCGGCCUAUCAGCUUGUUGGUGGGGUGAUGGCCUACCAAGGCGACGACGGGUAGCCGGCCUGAGAGGCGACCGGCCACACUGGGACUGAGACACGGCCCAGACUCCUACGGGAGGCAGCAGUGGGGAAUCUUGCGCAAUGGGCGAAAGCCUGACGCAGCGACGCCGCGUGAGGGAUGACGGCCUC
This 388-nucleotide ribosomal RNA is filed under the name uncultured bacterium. RNAcentral describes it as "bacterial SSU rRNA". It matches the Rfam family "Bacterial small subunit ribosomal RNA", at positions 28 to 418 of the family's 1533-position model. The record is from RNAcentral.